Molecule: ribosomal RNA, 431 nt
Filed under: uncultured bacterium
Lineage: Bacteria
Description: partial 16S ribosomal RNA
Rfam family: Bacterial small subunit ribosomal RNA
Source: RNAcentral
AACGAACGCUGGCGGCAGGCUUAACACAUGCAAGUCGAACGCCCCGCAAGGGGAGUGGCAGACGGGUGAGUAACGCGUGGGAACAUACCCUUUUCUACGGAAUAGCUCUGGGAAACUGGAAUUAAUACCGUAUACGCCCUACGGGGGAAAGAUUUAUCGGGGAAGGAUUGGCCCGCGUUGGAUUAGCUAGUUGGUGGGGUAAAGGCCUACCAAGGCGACGAUCCAUAGCUGGUCUGAGAGGAUGAUCAGCCACAUUGGGACUGAGACACGGCCCAAACUCCUACGGGAGGCAGCAGUGGGGAAUAUUGGACAAUGGGCGCAAGCCUGAUCCAGCCAUGCCGCGUGAGUGAUGAAGGCCUUAGGGUUGUAAAGCUCUUUCACCGAUGAAGAUAAUGCCGGUAGUCGGAGAAGAAGCCCCGGCUAACUUCGUG